RNAcentral lists this ribosomal RNA (624 nucleotides) under uncultured bacterium. Its description in RNAcentral is "bacterial SSU rRNA". It matches the Rfam family "Bacterial small subunit ribosomal RNA", at positions 94 to 787 of the family's 1533-position model. The record is from RNAcentral.
AGUGGCAAACGGGUGAGUAACACGUAAACAACCUGCCUUCAGGAUGGGGACAACAGACGGAAACGACUGCUAAUACCGAAUACCUGAAGAGGGGUUUGCGUCUGAUUAGGUAGUUGGUGAGGUAACGGCCCACCAAGCCGACGAUCAGUAGCCGGUCUGAGAGGAUGAACGGCCACACUGGAACUGAGACACGGUCCAGACUCCUACGGGAGGCAGCAGUGGGGAAUCUUCCGCAAUGGGCGAAAGCCUGACGGAGCAACGCCGCGUGAGUGAUGACGGCCUUCGGGUUGUAAAGCUCUGUGAUCGGGGACGCGGUACCCGAAUAGCAAGCCACGGCUAACUACGUGCCAGCAGCCGCGGUAAUACGUAGGUGGCAAGCGUUGUCCGGAAUUAUUGGGCGUAAAGCGCGCGCAGGCGGUUCUUAAGUCCAUCUUAAAAGUGCGGGGCUUAACCCCGUGAUGGGAUGGAAACUGAGAGCUGGAGUAUCGGAGAGGAAAGUGGAAUUCCUAGUGUAGCGGUGAAAUGCGUAGAGAUUAGGAAGAACACCGGUGGCGAAGGCGACUUUCUGGACGACAACUGACGCUGAGGCGCGAAAGCGUGGGGAGCAAACAGGAUUAGAUACCC